This 1184-nucleotide small RNA is filed under the name Histoplasma ohiense. Its description in RNAcentral is "hypothetical lncRNA". The record is from RNAcentral. Lineage: Eukaryota; Fungi; Ascomycota; Eurotiomycetes; Onygenales; Ajellomycetaceae.
GAGGAAGCAUCUGUGGUCAGAAUUGAUGCUGGGAGCCACAAGAUUACAGUCACUGCCGUGCAAAGCACAAGCGCGGCAAUCAUGCUGUUGAAGCGGCCUAGCUUGUCGGCGAUGUAUCCAGGCACUGAUCCGCCAAUGCAGGACCCCGCAUUCAUUAUCGCAAUGAGCUGACAUGACUUUUCCUGCGUCAUUGCGCUGGUGGACAGAGCAAAGGAAGUAAGAUAGGUGAUCGGAACGAAAAGAGCCCAUUCCAUGAAAUAUAUCCCCAACGCAAGCGACGGGUGCUCCUGGUCGCGGAAGAUGUUUAUUAGGCUGGGCAGAACCGUCUGUCCAGGUUUUUUGUGGGAACCCCGCGCGAAACCAGGAUAACCCGAGACCACUCAGAUCUUUUGAAUGUAACAAUGCACUCAGAUGUAGAAACUAAUGACCGCGGAACCGCGGGGCAGGUAACUCGCAACCAUACCGCUGGACCAGGAGAUCGCGAUGAACCCAAUGAUUCUUGUCGCCCACGUAAAUCCAACCCUAUAGAACAGCUUCUGUAGAGCUAGCGGGAAGACGAUACCACCGAGCGAACCCCGCCGCCGCUGCAAUGCCGGAAUGCCGGUGACAGUUGCCCGCUUUGGCAGGAAGAAGUGUCAGGGAAGAUAGCAUUCGUAUAAUGGGGCCGGGUCGCGGAGGGUUAAACUUGUUUUUCUCAUUUUGUUUUCGGAACGAAUUUCUUCGGAGCUACCUACAGAUGCUCCUGCGAAAAGUUUUGACUUGCGCUAAUACUUUAAGCUGAAAUGCUGAUACCGGCAUUAAGUGUUGUGUUGCAUCUCUUAAUGAAAAGGAGAGGGAGUCCCAGGGGGCUUAUAGAGGCCAACACCCCUAGCCUACCCACUAGCUCAGUCUCUAAAUUCCAGGUGGUGUGGCCUGGAGAUACAAUACACUAGUAAGGAUAUUUCAAGGUAAAUUCUUAGCAGGAGACAAAACUUUUCGCAGCGGCAUCUGUAUACCUCUGGGAGUUAGCGGUUCAGCCUAUAUAUAGUCCUAUAUCAUAAUUAUGUGCCAUGGAAAACGUCAUUCCUUGUGAGGAGGACGAGGAGGGUGGGGGGAAAUCGCGUAAAUAGUGGUUGGUGGUUGGUAGCUUAUCAAUCGCCUGCUCUGGCUUGCGCCGUUACGAAACAGUAACCUCAGUUCUGCAC